RNAcentral lists this long non-coding RNA (300 nucleotides) under Drosophila guanche. The record is from RNAcentral. Lineage: Eukaryota; Metazoa; Arthropoda; Insecta; Diptera; Drosophilidae.
CCGUAGUAGACUUAUUUUAAUAAAUCUUCCAUCCCUAGUUAGUCGUAGAAAAGUGCCUGGUGUAAUUUUUAUGCACAGCUUGAUCAAGGGGGAUGAAGACAGCCCUGACUUGCUGAGCCGCAUAAACUUUACGAUUCCCAUUAGACCCACUAGAAACUUUAUUCCUUUGUUCCUUCCACUAUGUAGAUCGAAUUAUGCCUCACACGAACCCUUUAGGGUUUUAUGAUCGAAUUCCAUCUACCACAUUAUAUCCUCAACUAACUCCCUUCCUCUUCUUAAAUCUCUUAUACUAGCCUACCU